Long non-coding RNA from Gasterosteus aculeatus aculeatus (three-spined stickleback), 5367 nucleotides. NCBI's taxonomy places the organism in Eukaryota, Metazoa, Chordata, Actinopteri, Perciformes, Gasterosteidae. The record is from Ensembl.
CCCCGGAGAUUUAUGCCCAUAUUCUGGAUCCAUAAAUGAUGAUCAGAAAAUAAUAUCGGCUAUAAGGUCUGUUCACGCUUGCGGUCUUUGACUUUACAAACGGUCUUAGGGGGUAUGAUUCUCUAAUUAGAGGGAAACACUUGUGGUACGUGGCAGGAUAAGCAGUAGUCCACUACAGCCAUCAACAAAUAUAACUGAAAGCACAAAGAGGAAAUGCGAUCCACACCGCCAUCUUCUGGUGACACACGCACACACACCUGAAACAAAAAACUACAGUCUGCCUGUCAUUUGCAGCACAUCUCUUAAUUUAUUCUGAAAGCAUUUAGUUGAACCGUUCUAGCACAGUCAGCAAAGGAGUCUUUAAAAUGCAAUCCUUUGCAUAAUUAUAAACAAUAUUACCUACUCAUAGUUAACGGCUUGAAUCAUUUGAAAAAAUGAGCUUUAACCCAGUGAAUAAGUAUUAUUUACUAGGGGUGGGGGAAAAAAAAAAAAUGAAAAAAAAAAUCGAUUCUUUGAUUUCUCUCAAUUCUUUCUAGAACGAUUCGGUCUCGAUUCAGAAAAGUUAAUAAUCGGAAUAAAAAAAACAAAAACAAAAAAAAGGUGUCUUGCGCGAGAUAUUUGCCCGCUCGAGGAGCGUGAACUUCCUCGCUCGCGAGGUUAAGCCUAGUUUAUGCUUCUGCGUUUUCAGAGCGACGCAGACGCAAGCCCCCCUUGCGUCUGCGUCGCUUUUCACACCUCCUUGCGUCCUUGCGUGUGUCGAGCCAUUUUUACCGAAAGCGACGCAAGCCUCCCGCAGCGCACCAGGAUGCGAUUGGUCCGCUAACUACAUCCUUUACGGAGUCUCACAUUUCCGCUUUCAUAGCCCGAUACCGCCAUUAUUAAAACGAGGAAUGUUUACGAGAGAAGAUUGAAGAACUUUUGUCGGAAGAAAUGCGUAAAUACGACCGCUUAUACAAGCCGUCAUUGGCGGGUUGUAGAAGCGGGUUGGAUUCACGGAGGGAGAUCGCCGCAAACGCCGGUUUGCCGGUCGAGGGCUGCACAAAGUUGUGGAGGAAAAUACGGGACAAAUGUGUCCGCGAUGAAAAGCAGCAGUGGCGAUGCACGGGGCAAUAAAGUCUAUGAUAAAUAAAUCAAUCAAUAAAUAGACGUGACUCUCUAUGUCGUCUUAAACAAAAACACGUUACUCCGCCUGUUGUUCUGGCGGUGAAUUGCUCUGCAACACACGCAAGACUUUUAGAACCAUGGAUUGAAACGAGUGCGUCGACACAACGACGCAGACGCAGAAGCAUGCACCAGCCUUUAGUCUCUGCUCGCGCUUUAAGGGGUUUUCUACGCACUCGCUGUUUUUCUUUUUGACAGUAAGGGGGCGGAGCCAGUCACCAUGGUCUCUACAUCUGAUUGGUUACAAACCGCGUCUUUGGAUUGGCUGGAGUGAUGCAUUCACACAACUAUGGAAGCCCAUUUCCGCACUAAUGUAAGGGGAAAAUUUGAAAUGUCGAAAUUAUGAGAAAACGUUGUCAAAAAACAAACGCCCCCCUUCGGUAAUCGUAGUGGAGCGUAGAUGACAACCAGCUACAACCAUCAUUUACCAUCAUUACCGGCACAUUAAGAGCAAUGCGUCCAGCUCGCAGACCGGUCUGUCAGUCUGAAUCUGUGAAUAUCGAAUAACUUUACUGAACUAUGGAGGAGCCUGCGCAUAUCUUACCUCAUUAUUUUGAUUUUCCAAAAAGUCGAUCCGUAUUGAAAGUUGGCAAGAUAUUCACAGAUUUGGACUUUUUUCCGGUAUUUUACAAAUACGGACCGGUCUGAGACGAAGAAAAGGAAUCUGUUUAAUAUUUUUUUUACAUAGGCUACUUCCAUAUUGUGUUGAAAUGCAAGCUGCAUUGGUUCUUGCAUUGUUGAUAGAAAAUCAUAUUUGUGGCAAAGAUUUUUUUUUCCCUUAUAAAAAAUUAAAAGGUAAUUCAUCUGUUGAUUUUCUUUAAUUAUCAAAUAAAGUAGGAAGUGAUUAGCAACCUUUGAGUAGCAAACUCAGAUUUGAGAAAAUUUAGAAAAACGAGACCCAUCGAUGAUCGUUUUAUCAGUUUAGAAUCGAUAAUCGGUUUGGAAUCGAAUCGUGAGGUGCCAAGAGAUUCCCACCCCUAUUAUUUACUCUGCUGAGCUGUCACAUACCAACAUUGAGCUGGAUGUUCUUGUUCGGUCUACACUGCCACCUGGUGGUGGAUACUAAAGCAUUCCUUACUCAUGAAUAGACCUUGUGUUUUAGGGCUGAUUUCCUCCACUUUGUCAGAGAGCCAUCAACUAAUUCCAAGAUCUAGUUCCAAGAUACAAUGUGUUUUCCUUGUCUGUGCACUGCUCAUCCAAAGAAACAACGUCGGACAUGUCAAACAUUUUGAGUAAACAAGUCUGUUUAUCAGACUGCAAAGUCACUUUAUAAAGUAGUAGAAUUCAUGCUGCAAAUACAAUACUACAGAAUUUGGGCUUUAUUUGCAACUUAAAUCAUGAAAUGUAUACGUAAAUAAUAAUUGCUUAUUAGUAAAAGAAAAGUUUAAUAAAGCCAAAACAUUACCUCAGUUCCUGUCAUGUAUGGCUUUUCAUUAGCCACUAGAGGGACUCGUAUCAUGUCUUCAAUUCAAGGCUCCUUAAAAUAGCCUCUCUCAAAGUGCACUACUUCCAGAUGUGGCUCAAUGAAAAACCCACCAAAGUUUUUAAUCCGGACCUGUGACCAUCCGGCACAUGGUAAACUUAGUGACUCCUCCCUCAGCGUCACAUCUCUGCACCCAGGCAGUUAAACCGAAAACCCCACGUCUCCCUUCCAGUUCGUCACGAGUCGUCAUCCCAGAAUCCUUACCCUGGGGGUUUCAUGGCAUUUCUUUGAUUUGAGCGACUCCACGGGUGAUUUGUGGCCUCAAUAACUUUCAAAUGACUGAUUUUUGAGUCAAGUUGAAGCACCGGCAGAUAAAUGCAUAAAUCUUUUUUGAAACCACUUAUGCUUCCAACUGCAGAUCCACUCAUGGAAAAAGCAUUUUCCUUUGGAAAGAAGAGAUGAAGUAGUUCAAGCAAAAAGCUAAGCGUAUUUUUAUAGCUUUAUUAUAAAAAAUAACUAUUUGAUGUGGAAAAACACAUCGUGAUGAGAUGAGUAGCCAGGAAACUCUGCAUGCAGAAUCCUUCCAAGGCGAAGCACAAGAAAAAGGGACAAUAGCCGUCACAGCAGCACUCGGCCACUCAAACUACGGUCUCUCGCGCACGCACGCACGCACGCACGCACGCACGCACACACACACACCUUGCCAACCAGCAGGGGGUAGUGCCGCCCUUUGCAAAGAGCGGAAAGUGGUUUGCAGGAAGGCGAUUAGACGGCAUUCAUCUUACAGGGGCCAAAAGGAAAAUGAGGAGCCUUUGGUCCCUCUAAAAGAGAGGAGGGCAGCUACAGCGGGCUGGACCUGCAAACAGCGCUGAACAUAAAGAGCCUGCCCCCAGAACGACGCAAGCCUGCGAUUGGUCUGCUAACUACGUCCUUUACAGAGUCUCACAUUUCCGCAGAAUGUUUACGGGAGAACGGAUCAGAUUGAAGAACUUUUUUCUAAAGAAAUGCGUCAAUAUGACCACAAGCCGUCAUUGGCGGGUUGUAGAAGCGGGUUGGAUUCACGGAGGGAGAUCUCCGCCAACGUCGGUUUGCCGGUCGAGGGCUGCACAAAGUUGUGGAGGAAAAUACGGGACAAAUGUGUCCGCGAUGAAAAGCAGCAGUGGCGAUGCACGGGGCAAUAAAGUCUAUGAUAAAUAAAUAAACAAAUCAAUAAAUAGACGAGACUCUCUAGGUCGUCUUCAACAAAACACGUUACGCCUGUUCUGGCGCAAGACUUUUAGAACCAUGAAUUGAAACGAGUGCGUCGACGCAGAAGCACACGCCAACCUUAAGCCUGACAAGCACACACAUAAUCACACACACUGAGCAAUGUAUGGAAAAUAAUGAGUACACAUUGAAGUACCGGACAUACACGUGAUGAGCAGCCUACUUUCUUAGUGACUACCGACUUGUUUUAGUCAUGCAACUGAGAGAAGAAGCUGACUAGACUAUUAAGGAGAAGAAGAAGAAACACCCCCCAGCGCUCCCGUCUUACGCAUUCAGCCACCGAGCAGAGAGAAGAGGAUUAGCUCACAAAGCAAGAGUGAGUGGAUAUCAACCCCGCCGGGAAACGGAGCUCUCGUGUCAUCACAGCAGAGCGGCUGAACAGACGACACUCCCGGCAACUUGAGUCAAGGCCAGAGACUCGGCGGUGGUCGCCACGGUGACUCACCAGAUGGGCUCUAAUCUUUCGGCAGGACAUCUGUGUAGUGUAGUUUGAGAUAUCAUAACGGUAAGAUUGACAGCAGAUUAAUCAGAAAAUAUGUUGAUCAUCAAUAAUCAGGUUACAUGACGAUGGGUUAAAGCAGUGUUCAGCGAACUGCACACGUUACUUACACUUGUCACUUUUGUCACUUUGUUCGCUGGUGCACGUUAUUUUAAAAAUAUUUUUAACUUAAACUUGUAUUCCUUUAUUUUAAACUAACCCAUAGCUUUAUUUUUGAUUUUAUUAUUUUUGAUUUUAUUCCUCGUGCACUUUGUCUUGUCGUCCAAUGUCUUACUGUCUGCAGUUACGCACCAACCGCAAGUCAAAUUCCUUGUAUGUCUGACAUAUUAUGGCAAUAAAUGUUUCCUGAACAUUGGGAUCAUGAUGUGUUUCAUUGAAUCGUGUAAAAUGUCGUUUUAGGGAGAUGUUUUCACUGCGAUAUUUAAAAAAGAAUAUUUGAGGGAGUUGUGACCAGUUUGGGGUUUUCAUGCAAAUAAUUCCAAUAGAUGACAAUAAUAAUGUAAAAGGAUAACAUUUAAAAAAUUGUUGCAAAGGGGAGAGAAAACAGGCGUGAGUACGUCGAUAGCAAAGUCAUGUAUUGUGUGUGUAAGAGAUUCCUUGAGCUGACUGGACAGUGUUCUGGCCACAGGAAUGGCGGCCAUGAUUCAGCACAUUGCCUGCAUGUUUAGGGGGGAUGACACUGACUGCCCACGGAGGCCUAGCUAUACAAAUAAAACGACAGCCAUAUUAGACAAAUAAUACGCCACAUGUUGCAGAUUUUGGUUGGGCGAUUCAAUGGUAUACAACAUAAUAAUGUUUCCUUUUCUGCACGGGGGGGGGGGGGGGAGGAGAGGAGACCGUGGAUGCAGACCAGGAGAAAGAAACUCAAAUCGACCCAAGAGAGAAGGAUGAUUACCAUACACUUAGUCUUUGGUAUAUUUAGUUCUGUCCGUUUUUUGAAGUAAAAGAUGGGCAAAAACGCUUUUUGAAAACGCUAGUAAAUAAAUAUAUAUAUUGUGCACACACUGGAAAACAACAC